CUCGCGCUACACAAAACCGUACAUCUCUCAUAAACACAUACACGCAUUUAUUUAUAUGUGGAUUUGACAGAAUAAAAUAUUCCUGUUACACACAACGAAUUUACGGAAAACCUUGAGAAAAUACGAGAGCCGAAUUAUAUUCCGGACAAUAAUGUCGAUUUUGUGAGCAGUAAACUUCCAGUCAUGCACGAAACGGUCGAGCUAGUGAAAAAACUUGCCUUUCGUAGCAUCCGUAGCGAAGUGAGUUCCCCUCCUGGCGGCAGUGGUAACAGUGAUGGUGGAGUGGUACCAUGGUUCAAAUCGAUUGGAAAAGCUAGAUAACGGAAGACGAAACGUAUCAAAUCGAUGAGCGAAUGAACAAAAUACAAGGCCUCGAAUGAAUGUAGGAUAAUUAAUCUGAAUCAAGGAGCGGUGUCACCGUAUAUGUACGUCGAAAUCAUGUGAAUUGAUUUGGUAGACGAUCGGGAUAAGGAUAUCGUGGGUUUCUGUGUUUGGAAAGCGCCAAAGAUGCUUCAAAAAAUAACAAGAAUUGGCGAUGAGGAACUCUUCACUGGUUUUGUUCUGGACAAACACUUGCGAGGCUUGAUUGAGGAGUGGUAAAACAAAGUGAUCUGUAUUCGAAAGAUGAGCUCCAGACAGAAAGUAACCACAGCUGCUGCGGCAACCACGAGCCUUCUCAAGUUUGCGUCCCUUGGAGAAUACAUACGGCCAAGUGAUGGAGUGUGGAACCUUCUAGAUGGUCUUGCUGUACUUUUUUCGGGUUCUGCGAUACAAAAAGCGAUAAAGCUUAAAAUCGAGAAACGAAAUCCCGCAUCUACCAUCGACGUAAUAAUUUUGUAGCAGUUUCACUUGUGUUUGAUAUCAAUAUCCUGGAUAGAACCGAAAACGGAAGAAAACUCUUUUUUUAGAAACAUUGAAAAACACUAACACAAACUAUCACUAGCCAAUAACAACUCAAAUAUCGACCAUUACAUGCACGCCGGACUCUUUAAAACGCCAGAAAAUUUAAUUGUAAUAAGGUUUAGAACAUCUCAAUAAUACUGAAAUUUCAGUUCUGUUAAAAUGUCAGUCGAGUCCUUAUCAUUUUUAAC
Long non-coding RNA from Toxorhynchites rutilus septentrionalis, 1091 nucleotides. RefSeq lists it as uncharacterized. NCBI's taxonomy places the organism in Eukaryota, Metazoa, Arthropoda, Insecta, Diptera, Culicidae. The transcript has 3 exons. The record is from RefSeq and is a predicted model, not a curated record.